GAAAAAAAGAAAUAAUUAAUUUUGUCUUUUGGGGAGAAAAAAAGAUUGAUGUUUUAUUAAAGUGUAAAAAACAGAAAAAGAAGCUAACAAGAAGGGAUUCAUUUAACUGUAAGAAACAGCAUAUUAUUGGUCAUAUUACAUUCUUGUGAUACAAUUAUGAUUCAUGAUGCACCAAGAUUUGGGAUCAUUUUAGUUUAAUACAGAAUAAGAAAGUGUUGAAAUUAUAAAAUGCAGAUAGCUUCCAUGAUGAUGAUGGAAAUAAACUCCAUAAAUAUGAGAAAUCAGAAAUUUUAGGAAAGAGCUCCUACUCACCAGUGUUUGAG
This 323-nucleotide unclassified non-coding RNA is filed under the name Hevea brasiliensis (rubber tree). Lineage: Eukaryota; Viridiplantae; Streptophyta; Magnoliopsida; Malpighiales; Euphorbiaceae. The record is from RNAcentral.